RNAcentral lists this ribosomal RNA (199 nucleotides) under uncultured bacterium. RNAcentral describes it as "partial 16S ribosomal RNA". It matches the Rfam family "Bacterial small subunit ribosomal RNA", at positions 328 to 539 of the family's 1533-position model. The record is from RNAcentral.
ACGCUCGACACCUACGGGGGGCAGUAGUCGGGAAUAUUGCGCAAUGGAGGAAACUCUGACGCAGUGACGCCGCGUAUAGGAAGAAGGUUUUCGGAUUGUAAACUAUUGUCGUUAGGGAAGAGAAAGGACAGUACCUAAGGAGGAAGCUCCGGCUAACUACGUGCCAGCAGCCGCGGUAAUCUGAGCGGGCUGGCAAGGC